RNAcentral lists this ribosomal RNA (750 nucleotides) under Triticum aestivum (bread wheat). RNAcentral describes it as "partial small subunit ribosomal RNA". Lineage: Eukaryota; Viridiplantae; Streptophyta; Magnoliopsida; Poales; Poaceae. The record is from RNAcentral.
AUGAAUAUUGCCCUACUGACUUGGUGGCUCUGGAGGAUUAACAACGGAGAUGGUGGCCUGUGGCUGCGCAUUAUUCAGCAGAAAUACCUCUGCGGACAGCCACUCGCCUUCUGUCAGCGCUCUGGGGGCUCCCAGUUCUGGCAAUCCAUCAUUCAGCUCCUCCCUGUCCUCCGGAUCGGGACCUCGAUCGAGAUUGGGUCCGGCACCACCACGUUGUUCAGGUUUGAUCGCUGGACUGGGGACUCACCCCUGGCGUCCCGCUUUCCGGACAUGUUCUCCAUCGCGGUGGCCCCCCAGAUCUCCGAGGCGAACGCCCUUAUUGACCUAGGGCGCCUUGCGUUCCGAAGGCCUUUUGGUCCUGCUGAGAAUGCGGACUGGCAGGAGUUGCUUGACUGUGUUGCUCUCCAUGAGCCGGAUCUCACGUCUGACGCUGACCGUGCCAGGUGGCGCCUAGAGCCGUUCGGUCAAUUCUCCACCAAAUCUCUCUAUCCGGCCAUCGCCCCCUCGCUCAGUCAUGAGGCUCUCUCCUCCAUUUGGGAGAUUCGCCUCCCAUUGAAAAUUAGGAUCUUCCUGUGGCAGUGGAUUCGCGGCCGCCUACCUUCUGGCGUUGAGGUUCUGAAGCGCAAUGGCCCUGGUGAUGGGCGUUGCCCGUUCUGUGGGCCUGAAGAAGAUUUGAACCAUAUCUUCUUCACCUGCGUGUCUGCGCAGUUCCUUUGGAGCUGUUUCCGCGAGAUUGUGGGUGAAAGCUAG